AUGCAACAGGGAGCACGGCUCGACUGCUGCGUGGCCGGCCACCGCUACCGGCAGUUCAAGUGCUCGCCCCUUAUGUCGGCCGAGACGCCGGCCAUCCUGACCCUGAACAGUUUCGCGUCGGGCGGGGACGGUGGCGGCAAGUCCUUCUGCGACAACCGUUUCCACAAGGACAGCGAGCUGGUGGUGGCGCUGUCCACCGGGUGGCUGCGCCUCGACGGCACACGCAGGUGCAACAAGAUGAUCCGCAUUACGGAAACGGGCAGUCCGCUGGCCAAGGUCGUCGACGAGUACGAUUCGGUGAACAACUGCGAUGCGGAGCACAACUUCGAGCCGCCGUGUCCCAACAACGCCGUGGACGGGUCGCUGGCCGUGUGGAAGGCAUUGAGGCUCAACGAGGACAUUGGAGAGUUCAAGGUCACUUGGUCUGAUGUGUGA
This 435-nucleotide ribosomal RNA is filed under the name Triticum aestivum (bread wheat). RNAcentral's name for it is "partial small subunit ribosomal RNA". The record is from RNAcentral. Lineage: Eukaryota; Viridiplantae; Streptophyta; Magnoliopsida; Poales; Poaceae.